Non-coding RNA from Ictidomys tridecemlineatus (thirteen-lined ground squirrel), 1642 nucleotides. The record is from RefSeq and is a predicted model, not a curated record. NCBI's taxonomy places the organism in Eukaryota, Metazoa, Chordata, Mammalia, Rodentia, Sciuridae.
GUCUGCCGGUCCGUGAUGACCACCGCUUCCUCGAUCUCGCCGAAGACCUCGAAGUACUUGCGCAGGCUGGCGUCGGUGGUGUGGUAGGGCAGCCCCCCGACGAAGAUCUUGGUGAAAUGGUUUUGUAGGUGAAAGAAGAGCGUUUGAACCUGUAAGAGGAAGCACUGAGGAUCAUCAGCAGGGUGUUAUGCUUUGCAUCUAAGAAAGUCCUAGGAGAUAUUCCCUCCAACAGAAUGGAAAUGCCAGCUCUCCAGGGGACAUGGAAUGAGCAGGAGGAGAUCAGUGAAGCAAUCUGCUGUACCCUGUCACUCUGCUCUCCCAACAUACUCAUGAUGGAGCUGUUCUCUGCAAAGGUAUGACAAUGACACUAAUCUGUAGAUUUUUCAUCAGCAUAAAUAGAAGCUCAAAGGUGGGGGGAGCAAUGUAAUUCUGUGCCUAACUAAAACUAAACUAAGUCCUUCCUCAUCUGAAUCAUUCAAGACGAGAGCUGGAAUGAAAGUGUGAUCACACACACACACACACACACACACACACACACACACACAAUUUAUUCACAAGAGCCUCGAUAACUACUAAAAGAUAUAUGUAAGUAAGAAGAAAUUGGACUGCAAAAGGGAAAGGGAUGAAAGGAGAAACUAGCAAAGAAAGCAAGAUGAAAACAACAUACUAGACAACAAUGUGGAAAAAAUCUUUGUGUAUUUUUGAAGGAGUACAGAUAUUAACCUUAAUAGCAGCCAUAUGUUGUUUUAUGAUGGAGUCUGGUUCUGAUAAAGGCAUUGCUGGUGCUUUGAGGUUUGUGCAAACAUCGUAGCGUGCACUUACAUGAAGCUUAGUGGCCCAGGUCAGUCACUUGAUGUUGCCUCCUGAUGCCAUCAGGAGGCUGGGCAAGCACGAGAUGUGUGGAGCUGCUGCUGCUGCCGCCACCCAGCUCACUGUUUUACAGUGAGCAUUGUUUAUGAGCAGAAGGAGCACACGCUAAGAUGAUGAUGUAAGUACCAUGUGGUAAGCACAGAAGCAAGCCACAGUCAUUUGUCAUCUUUAUCGAGUAUGAGGUGCUGUGUGUAAUUGUGUUGCUGUGCUUUCACAUGACUGGCAGCACAGGAGGUUGGUCUGCACAAGCAUCACACAAACACAUGAGAAAUGGGCUUUGCUGAGACAUUACCCUGGCUACGUCUUCACUAGGUGUUAGGAAUUUCCGAGCUCCAUUAUAAUCUUAGGGAGCUACCAGGGUGUAUGUGGCCAGUCCUUAACUGAAAUGUUGUCAGGCUAUAACACCUGGCCACAAUUAACUCAUUGUUAGCUGCUACUGUGUCCUAUUUCAUCAAAUGCUGCUUAAGUGGUAUUCUAUUUACAUAUGUUUACUUUUUCUCACUUUUUUAGUAGAUACUUAUAUCACUGAUUUUCAGUCUUUACUUUUCUAUUAAGUCCAUCUAAUAUUAUGAACUUCCUCUAAAUUUCAUCUUAGGCUUAUACUAGAAAUUGUAUGUAUUUGUGUAUGCACUUCUUGACAAAUUUCAGUUAGGGAUAUAUGUCUAAUUUAUGCUUGAUUUAUUUUUUUUUUUGGCUGAUGAAUUAAAGAUCACUCUUUCAUUUCUUUAUCUUAAAUACACAGUGGGGAUGAGGAAUGUUUGUUUUUUUUUUU